This 3851-nucleotide long non-coding RNA is filed under the name Homo sapiens (human). RNAcentral's name for it is "HSALNT0004737". The record is from RNAcentral. Lineage: Eukaryota; Metazoa; Chordata; Mammalia; Primates; Hominidae.
CUUCAACAUAUGAAUCUUGUGGGGACACAUUUCAGCAGUAACAGAAAGACAGACGGCAGCAGCAUGAAGCGGGCCGCUGCCGCCGGGGAAACCUCUGCACGGGAGAGCGGCUACAGCCAAAGCCUUUAAUGGGGAGGCGCUCAGCCUACCCUGGGGAGAGGCUGGUGUUGGGUCCUCGUCCCUCUCUCCCACAAGAGGCCCUAGAGUGAGAACUAAAUGCCUGAGGCCGGAAGGCUCUGUGAGCUGAUUAUCCCUGUGGUCUCUGGGGUGAAGGAACAGUCAGCAGGCCCCAGGCACUGUCCUGUCCUUCCCCUGCCUUAUCAGAGCCUCGACUCCCUUCCGCCUCUAGGCUGUGACCCAGGCUCUCCCCAUGAGCAGUGACUUUGAAGGGGGUAACAUCGCCACCUUUGUUUUAGCUGAGCUCUGCAGCUCUCCAUGUACCCCACCUGGCAGGGAGUGGUUUAGAAAUAGCACCGAGAGUUCAAACAUCACUUCUAUUAUUUUUUCCAGGAGAUUUACUUGUCUGACUGAGUUGGUUUAGGCUGAUAUUCUAGUAAAGACUUUCCUCUCUGAGUGCCAUGUGUUUUCUGAUAAAAGCUGAGGGCGGGUAGGGAAGUGGCUCAGAAACUUUCUGGAAGUCAGAAUUGGCCACAGAUGACAAGUAAGUGCUUUGCCUGGCCCUGGAGCCCACCUCCCCAUCAGUCUUUCACGCAGCCCCAUUAGGUGGGCUAGAGAUCAUCUCAGGGUCCUCUGAUGGUGCACUGCCCUCCCCCAGCAUCCUACAUCUCCCUCUGGGGUCAGUAGUUCUGGGUCUUUCACGGCCUCUUGUCCCCCCAGGCCCAGAAGCCAGCAUUGGAGGGGCAGGAAGGAUGGAUGCUUUAGGUCCAGCUGCCUGCUGCCUUCUGCCCAGCCAGGUCCACAGAGUCCUAGGAUUGCAGAGGUUCCCUGGCUUCUUGGAAAAGGGCUAGAAGGCAGCCACCCUGCUUUUCCUGUGGACUUCAUUAGUCUUGGGAACCCAAGGCAGACAAAUCCCAGAAAAGAAGAGAAGGAAAACUGUGCUCACUGAGCUCCUUUAGGCUGAGUGUUGUGCCGGAUGCCUCUGAUAUCUCAUUUAAUCCUCUCAAGAGCCCUGCAAAGCAGGGGUUGUUUUCUCCAUUUUAUAGAUAGGGAAACUGAGACUCAGGGGCUAAGUAACUGAAUCGCACGUUGAGCGAGUGGUUGUGCUGGGAGCGAAGCCUAGGUCUGCAGGCUUUGGAGCUCUGGUCUACUUCCAGUGAAGCUGGCUGUUCCUCCCAGCUUCACUGUGCCCUUGGCCUUUCUUCCCCUUGGACAGUGGAGGGUGGAGGGUGGGAAAGUCAGUGGGGGCUUCCUCCCCUCCUCUUUCCUUUCAUCUCCAGAGACCUCUUUGUUUUCCCUGAUUCCUGGACACACUGGGCUCAGGGCUCCUGACUGACUGGGCUGCAGCUCUCAGAUCUCCAAUGACUAGGAGGGAAUGAAUGGGUUGUCACCUCUUGACCUGUAUCCCCCACCCCCACUACGUCUCCUACCCCAGCAACCACAAUGGCCUGAGGCUAAUUCAGUGCCGUCAUUGUUGACCGUGGAGAACAAUGCUCAGAGACAGGCUGCUGGCGGGACUGGGUGCAGCCACCUGCUCCUCUCCAGCACUGUUUCUCCCAUGCUAGGAAGUUGGGAGAUGACUUUCCAUGUGUGAGAUAUGAGGGUCCUGAGAGGAGGUGUGAGAGGAGGGAGCAAACGGUAAUCUCCCCAUUCCCCCAUAUCCAAACCAUUUCCCAGUGCCAAGCAAGGCUGUGGGUACUAUGGGCUUCCUCUUACUAGGCUGUGGGUCACAUGGCUCCCCCCUCACUAGCUGUGAGACCGUGGGCAAAGUCACUUAGCUUCUCUGCGUCCUAGUCUUUAAUAUAGGGAUUUACUACCUCCUUCACCAAGUAAUUGAGGGGAAAGCUCUUAGCAUAGUGCCUCAUUCCAUAGAAGACAUCAGUUCUCCCUCUUGCCCCUGCUUUCCUGGUAAUUGGCAGGUGCGCUUGAUCUUUUGGGCCAGCUUGUGCUGGGAGGCAAGGUGCUGUGGGGAGGCACAACCUGGGAGAGCCUUUCCUGAGUCCAGCUGGAGCCAGAGAUAAAGGAGGCCUCCCUGCUUCCCCAGCUGUCUUGCUUCGCUUUGCUUUUUGUAACACGGAGGAAGCUGAAGGCAUUGUGAUUAUCGGCUCCGGGAAGAUAAACUUGAAGGGUGACUUAAUGAGCAUUUGUAAACCUAUCGAAGGUUAUCAUUCAGGGCAGAGUGACCGGCGGACACGCGGAAAUGGGUUUAGUAUGCAGCAAAGGUCUCUGUGAAGAUAAAAUAAGGUAAUGCACAUGCUCCUCACCUAGUCACGUUUUCCUUCCAUUUCUUUCCCUUCUCCUCUUUUCUCUGUCACUCAGCCCUACCCUGAGCAGAGAUCCCUUUCUAAUCAUUGCUGGUGUACAGAUAUAGUUAAGUGUUUGGACUUGAGGAUCCUACUGCCCUACAGCACAGGAGAACCAGGCCUCUGUUCAUUGUGGUAGCCAUUAGCCACAUGUGACUAUUUAAAGUAAAAUGAACAAAAAUGAAAAAUUAGCUCCUCACUAGCCACACGUGGCUAGUGGCUAUUGUAUUAGACAGUGGGGACAGACAUUUCUAUCAUUGCAGAAUGUCCUAUUGGAUAGUGCUGAGUGAGAGGGUGUGAUAUAACCAUGGAACCUGAUAAGCAGAAGGAAAUAAAUUAAUGAGGAAAAAGGAUUUGGUUGGCUGAGAACUGAGUAAAAUAGUAUCCCUCUACUAUUUGAAGCGUCCAUGGGGUUUGGACUCUUGAUGUUGGUUCUCUUCUUCCAUUGGUAGAGUUAAUCCAGUGCACACUUGGUCUAACACUCAAAUGCCAGGAACCUCUGGGGCUGGACUGAGAAAGCUGCCCAAGCAGGCCCUGUGCUCCACGGAUGGGUCAUGGCCAGGCCUUACUGACUAACAGAGUUUGCCUUGUGUUCUAUGGCCCCUAUACAGGUGUGAAUUGUGACGGCUUAGGCCCAGGGAAGCCACAACUGCCCUAGGACUCUUUAUACCAAUACCUGCCACUCUAGACUCUUCCCUUUGUCUCCCAUCCUUGUCACAGAAACCAUAGACAAUCAUAUGGCCUUGCCCUGAUGUCAAUGACAGACUCAUCCCCCAAGCAUAGAUUGUAGUUGUGGCAUGUGGCUCGUAGUCUCUCCCUCCUCUGCUGCAGGCACCGAUCCUACCACUCUUAACCAGGCUGCUCCCUGAGCCUUCGUGGGCUGCUGGGCUCUGGAAUUAUUAGCUUUGUUGCCAACAGCCUGGUGUGCAUGAGUCCUGGGCACCCCUGGACCAAAGCCAUCCAACCUCAGCUGCAUAUUCCCAGUUUAUACAGUUUAUCAGCCCUGCUUUGCUUCCUGACACUCUGACUAGCCUUGUCAGCAUCCCCCUCUGCUCCCCUUGGAGGAAUGGGGCUGGGUGUCUGUACUCCUAAGCUCUGGACUGGGCUCCUGCUCUGAACAUGUCUGUUUCCUGAAACCCCAAUUCUGAAAUCUGUCUGCUCUGCACAUCAAACUGGCCUCAAGAUACCAGCAUUGGGCUGGAUCUUGUAUUUGGAGUAACUCACCCUCCCUGCCCACGUCCCAGCUUCCUGUCCUUUCCCAUCAGCUGUACCAACAGUGGAGGCUCAGCAAGCCUGGCACCUGAGGCCAUGGCUGUUGGACAGGUCUAGGAAGGCCCUGUAGGCUGGCCUACCAUGGGGGGGUUCCCAGACGUCACAGCAAUUAGAGUUCAUAGGAGCUUGGCAGGUGCCAAGGUUAGGAGCCUAUCUGGG